GUCCUUCGGUUCAUAAGCAUGGUGAUUGGGUGUUCACGCUCUUGUGUGAGAUGUGCCUCCCUCUAAACCUUGUUAUGACAUUGGCACAUUACCCGUCUGACA
RNAcentral lists this small nucleolar RNA (102 nucleotides) under Ictidomys tridecemlineatus (thirteen-lined ground squirrel). RNAcentral's name for it is "Spermophilus tridecemlineatus (thirteen-lined ground squirrel) Small nucleolar RNA U13". It matches the Rfam family "Small nucleolar RNA U13". The record is from Rfam by way of RNAcentral. Lineage: Eukaryota; Metazoa; Chordata; Mammalia; Rodentia; Sciuridae.